CCAGGUGUCAUUAUGGCAACAGACCAACAGAAUUUUAAGAGAAACCUCUUUUUAAAUUUGUAUAGACAAGGGGAAAAAAUAUAACACUAGUUUGUUUCUUCCUGCCAUUUAAGAGAGAGAAAAAAUUUCUGACAAUUGCAGCCUAUUUCCUGUUUGGAGGCCCCUGGCCUGCCUGUCUGUUACCCUCUCACACAGAUGACACCACCCUUAUGGCAGAAAGUGAAGAAGAACUA
Long non-coding RNA from Cervus elaphus (red deer), 233 nucleotides. RefSeq lists it as uncharacterized. The transcript is spliced from 3 exons. The record is from RefSeq and is a predicted model, not a curated record. Lineage: Eukaryota; Metazoa; Chordata; Mammalia; Artiodactyla; Cervidae.